UACGUAGGUGACAAGCGUUGUCCGGAUUUACUGGGCGUAAAGAGCGCGCAGGCGGUCGAUCAAGUCGAGUGUGAAAGCCCCCCGGCUCAACUGGGGAGGGUCAUUCGAUACUGAUCGACUCGAAGGCAGGAGAGGGUAGUGGAAUUCCCGGUGUAGUGGUGAAAUGCGUAGAUAUCGUAAGGAACCCCAGAGGCGAAGGCGGCGUCCUGGCUCGCAUCUGACGCUCAGACACGACAGCAUGGGGAGCGAACGGG
Molecule: ribosomal RNA, 254 nt
Filed under: uncultured bacterium
Lineage: Bacteria
Description: partial 16S ribosomal RNA
Rfam family: Bacterial small subunit ribosomal RNA
Source: RNAcentral